RNAcentral lists this long non-coding RNA (218 nucleotides) under Elaeis guineensis (African oil palm). Its description in RNAcentral is "long non-coding RNA (EGUI_LNC049687)". The record is from RNAcentral. Lineage: Eukaryota; Viridiplantae; Streptophyta; Magnoliopsida; Arecales; Arecaceae.
GCCUCCCAUUAAGGUGAGUGAUAAUGAGUCCAAUAUUCCAAAUAGGCAUUGGAGGUGCCACAUGCCUGGUGUCUAUUAUAUAUUGAAAUUGUCAUUCAUCAUAUGACCAUCAUGAUGUACCUUCAGAUUAAUGCUCAGGUUGGUCGAGCCACACUCGGAUCUGGACAUCCAUUUGUUGGAUAUACUUUGUGUACUUUGUUAAUGGUUGGACCUAAUCG